ACGACCACUAGGCUUGCACCUUGAUUACAUAUCCUUAUCUUGAUAUGGGAUGAUCUUUACACUGUAGUUUCAGUGAUUUUAAUACAAAUUUCUUUUGACUGAGAAAAAAAAGAAGAUAGCACGUCACCUAUGAAAACAGAGAAGAAAACAACAAAUCAUCAAUCUCUGUAGGACCCUGUAUGGAGAAAGUAUGGAGAUUUCAAGGGCGAUAAGUUAAAGGCAAAACAAUCUUGAAAGGAUGCCAGCCUUCGUAUGAGUUUCUGAAACUGUGGGUCUUUCCAUUGAGAGCAGGGCUCCAGUCUUCCUCAGGCUUCAGGUUGUUGGAUUCUAUUCGUUAAUUUCCUGAAAGCAUCUCUCUUGCCAGGGCUUUAAAUUUCUUGCAUAAUUAACAUUAUGUUCUUAUUCAUCCUCACAAUUUACAUAAAUAAAAUUAAGUUCAUUUCAAUCGGCUGCAUGGAUUAUGACCUGGUCCAAAGCACCAGCAUUGCGACAAAGUGGUAAUUCGAGUUGGAAUAUUCAUCACAGAAAUCUUUGGAAGUUUCCAUGUCUUUUUUUUUUCUUUGGACAAAUGGGUGGUUAGACAGAGGCGGUGAAACUCAGCAUCCAUGUGAUCCCGUGUACUUCGUUGACACUGAAUAACAUCACAUGAGAUGUUUGUGUUCAAAUUUUAGAUAUUAGAAAGACAGAUCAAUCAAGUCGAACAAAGCUAAUUAUUGCCGUCAGAAUCUCCACCAGCCGUUGCAUGUCGUGCAGCAGACUGCAGAUUCUUUGCUCCUCUUAGUGAGCCUACUAAGCUAUAGCUACCCAAUUCUGUUUCUGCCUUUCAUCUCCUCAGGCACCCUCAGAUUGCUUGGGAUCUUACACCGAAAUUCAUUCUAAAAGAGUCAUUCACCAUCAACAUGACAAUUAGUCAGUUCAAGGGUAGACUCCCCUGUAGAAUUACUGAAAGAAACUUUGGAAGAGGGGAAAGUAAAAAUGCUAUGAAAGCACGCUGGAGUUGUUCUUUUCUGCUAGCAUAUAGGAGGAGGAGACUGAGCUUCAACAAUGCUAUCAAGUGUUGUGGCUCAACAGGUGAUCAGCAUACUUCAGAUCAUAUUAGCUUGAGUUCCUCUAGUAUUCGCAAGAGAUCAGAUUCCAAUGAUGCAAGUGUGGUAACUGAUGGAAUCCUAGACUCAACCAGGACACCCUUGACCAGUCAAUCAAGCCUUCAAAGUGUCCAAACCGAACUUAUAAUGCUUGCAUUACCAGCCAUUGUAGGACAAGCUAUUGAGCCUUUAGCGCAACUAAUGGAAACAGCUUUCAUUGGAAGAUUGGAGCUUCUGGAGGAUCUGCAUCCUUAUCUGUUUAACUGUGCUUACCAGUUAGCAUCAGCGGCUGUUUCCAUAACAAUAUUCAACAUCAUCUCAAAGGUUUUCAAUAUUCCUCUUCUAAGUGUUGCAACAUCAUUUGUGGCUGAAGACAUCUCAGAAACCAGGAAGGAAUUUGCUUCAGAUGAAUCAGCCGAAAGACAGUUUCUUCCCUCUGUGUCUACGGCUUUACUUUUGGCGUUAGCCAUAGGUAUUUUUGAGGCUUCAGCUAUGUACAUGGGAUCUGCAGUGUUCGUUAAUAUAAUGGGCCUAUCAUCAGCUUCACCCAUGUACAUUCCGGCACAAAAAUUCUUGUCAGUUAGGGCAAUUGGAGCACCUGCAGUUGUGGUUUCUCUGGCAAUUCAGGGCAUCUUCCGUGGUUUUAAGGAUACCAAAACUCCAGUUUUAUGUCUAGGACUUGGAAAUUUGUCAGCUAUUUUCUUAUUUCCCAUACUCAUGUAUUCUUAUGGGCUUGGUGUAACUGGUGCUGCCAUUUCUACUGUUUUGUCUCAAUAUAUUGUUGCUAUUUUGAUGAUUUGGCAUCUUAAUAAGAGGACUGUUUUAUUGCUUCCUGGCAUCAAGAAUUUGCAAUUUGGUGGUUACCUAAAAUCUGGUGGUUUUCUUCUGGGAAGAACUCUUGUUUCUGUCAUGACUAUAACUUUAAGCACAUCAAUGGCUGCUCGUCUAGGACCAUUAGCCUUGGCAGCCCAUCAAAUAUGUUUGCAAGUGUGGUUAUCUGUUUCUUUGCUUUUUGAUGCACAAGCCGCUUCCGGUCAGGCUCUUAUUGCAAGUUCUUUAGCUAAAGGGGACUAUGCCAGAGUGAAAGAGAUUACUUAUUGUACCUUGAAGACAGGACUGUUUACUGGUAUUUCCCUAGCAGUCAUACUUGGAGCUUCUUUCGGGUCGCUAGCCACAUUGUUCACCAGGGACAAAGAAGUUCUCAGAAUUAUUAGAUCUGUGCUGUUGUUGGUCAGUUCUAGUCUACCUAUAACUGCUCUGGCUUAUACUUUUGAUGGCCUGCAUUACGGUAUAUCAGACUUCUCAUACGCUGCCUUCUCUAUGAUGGUAGUCGGUGCAGUUUCUUCUGCAUUUUUGCUCUUUGCUUCUUCUGUCAUGGGUCUUUCAGGGGUUUGGACAGGUUUGGCUCUUUUCAUGGGCUUGCGCACAGGAGCUGGAUUGCUCAGGGAUGAAAAAUGAUACUGACUUUGUUGCAAAAACUCCAAAAGAAUAACGUUGCUUCUGAGAUGAACACGUUGAUGGACUCUCUGCAUGCAUGCCAAUGUUUUGAUAAACACCACUUGCAUUUUGUUCUUUUCCAGGAUAUCAUCAAAGAAUGGUCCAUGGUUUUUCUUGCAGGAAAGACAUUAAAAAGGGAUGUCGGCUUGAAGUGUCAAAAACUUGACAUUGAAGAAACUGCAGAUGCUCCCUCUAAGAGAUGUAUUUCAAGCUGGAAAACUACUUUGAUUGUGGAGAACUGAAGCUGAGAACCUCCUCGUUGAUUCCAUCUGCUGAAGGAAAUUACAGCAAAUGAAUGUUACUAUCUAAAAAAAAAAGAGAAAAGAAGGCUUCUGUUACAUAUUGUGAGUUGGGCCACGACGUGCCAUGGAUUUAAGGAUUAGAGUUUUUGAUUGCUAGAAUAAGAUCAGAAACAUGAUACAAAAUUAUGAAAAAGACAUCCAAGUGGGUAGCUAGGGAGUUUAUCCGAACCCGCUUGAACUGGACAUGACGCAAAACUCCUCCCACAGAACUCUAGGCUCGAGGAGAUUCUGAAGUCGGCUUUCUUUUUUUUUUUAAUUCUAUUUGUCAGGAUAAAAAUAUAAUAAAUAUUUUUCAAUUAUAGUUUGAUGUUAACAAUCCAUUUCUAUGUACUUUACAAUCUUUUCCAAAAAUGGACUAGAAUUUACUA
Molecule: RNA transcript, 3252 nt
Organism: Theobroma cacao (cacao)
Lineage: Eukaryota; Viridiplantae; Streptophyta; Magnoliopsida; Malvales; Malvaceae
Gene name: protein DETOXIFICATION 45, chloroplastic-like
Source: RefSeq, a predicted model, not a curated record